UACGAAGGGAGCUAGCGUUGUUCGGAAUUACUGGGCGUAAAGCGCACGUAGGCGGGGUGAUAAGUCAGGGGUGAAAUCCCGAGGCUCAACCUCGGAACUGCCUUUGAUACUGUUAGGCUUGAGCUCGGGAGAGGUGAGUGGAAUUCCUAGUGUAGAGGUGAAAUUCGUAGAUAUUAGGAGGAACACCAGUGGCGAAGGCGGCUCUCUGGCCCGAUACUGACGCUGAGGCGCGAAAGCGUGGGGAGCAAACAGG
This 253-nucleotide ribosomal RNA is filed under the name uncultured bacterium. RNAcentral's name for it is "partial 16S ribosomal RNA". It matches the Rfam family "Bacterial small subunit ribosomal RNA", at positions 524 to 776 of the family's 1533-position model. The record is from RNAcentral.